ACGAACGCUGGCGGCGUGCUUAACACAUGCAAGUCGAACGGAAAGGCCCUGCUUUUGUGGGGUGCUCGAGUGGCGAACGGGUGAGUAACACGUGAGUAACCUGCCCUUGACUUUGGGAUAACUUCAGGAAACUGGGGCUAAUACCGGAUAGGAGCUCCUGCUGCAUGGUGGGGGUUGGAAAGUUUCGGCGGUUGGGGAUGGACUCGCGGCUUAUCAGCUUGUUGGUGGGGUAGUGGCUUACCAAGGCUUUGACGGGUAGCCGGCCUGAGAGGGUGACCGGCCACAUUGGGACUGAGAUACGGCCCAGACUCCUACGGGAGGAAGCAGUGGGGAAUAUUGAACAAUGGGCGGAAGCCAGAUGCAGCAACGCCGCGUGCGGGAUGACGGCCUUCGGGUUGUAAACCGCUUUCGCCUGUGACGAAGCGUGAGUGACGGUAAUGGGUAAAGAAGCACCGGCUAACUACGUG
Molecule: ribosomal RNA, 467 nt
Filed under: uncultured bacterium
Lineage: Bacteria
Description: partial 16S ribosomal RNA
Rfam family: Bacterial small subunit ribosomal RNA
Source: RNAcentral